CGCAAGCUAGCACAACUGGCGGUGCAGCACCCUCAUAAGGUGAAGGUUUCGGGUUCGAAUCCCGAGCUUGCGACCA
RNAcentral lists this transfer RNA (76 nucleotides) under Nitrosomonadaceae bacterium. RNAcentral's name for it is "tRNA-Met". It matches the Rfam family "tRNA". Rfam says of the family: Transfer RNA (tRNA) molecules are approximately 80 nucleotides in length. Their secondary structure includes four short double-helical elements and three loops (D, anti-codon, and T loops). Further hydrogen bonds mediate the characteristic L-shaped molecular structure. tRNAs have two regions of fundamental functional importance: the anti-codon, which is responsible for specific mRNA codon recognition, and the 3' end, to which the tRNAs corresponding amino acid is attached (by aminoacyl-tRNA synthetases). tRNAs cope with the degeneracy of the genetic code in two manners: having more than one tRNA (with a specific anti-codon) for a particular amino acid; and 'wobble' base-pairing, i.e. permitting non-standard base-pairing at the 3rd anti-codon position. Lineage: Bacteria; Pseudomonadati; Pseudomonadota; Betaproteobacteria; Nitrosomonadales; Nitrosomonadaceae. The record is from RNAcentral.